This is a long non-coding RNA of Dreissena polymorpha, 685 nucleotides long. RefSeq lists it as uncharacterized. The record is from RefSeq and is a predicted model, not a curated record. NCBI's taxonomy places the organism in Eukaryota, Metazoa, Mollusca, Bivalvia, Myida, Dreissenidae. The transcript is spliced from 2 exons.
AUAAAGACAACCAAAUUUCUUUGCUCUACUUAUUUUCAGCUAAUAAUGAAACUUUCCAAACCAAGCCCUUACGAUGCUGUAUCAUUUCAUUUUCCUACAUGGUUUCUGCUGAUGAUGCUCUACACAUUUUCAACUGAUGAUGCAACCAGGCCCUGGCCUUGCUGGAUCAGCACUUGCUUACCCUACAGGCUUAUGGCACAGUGUUUGCCAAACUUUCUCAUGUGCUACUUCAAGUGUAGGGUCGCCAUAGCAACAUAGGCAGGCGGGCGACAAGAAACGUGAGGGCUUGCUAUCCUGCGUGAACAGUCUUAAGCAUGUGACGGAGUUGUAUCAGAACUGUGAGGCAUUCCUUCAUGUCAAGAACCCCGUGUAUCUAGGCACGACUGUACCAUGAACUGGGAUUCACAAACGAGAGGAAUAGAUGUUCACACCAGUAGAGACAGAUCGACCAGCAGAACCCGACACUUUCACACAUUUUUGUCAAUGUAAUUUGAAUAUUUCACAUAUUGUUAAUGUAAUCGAAAUACAUUGUAUUUCACAUGUUAUUGUGAGUGCCAUGUGAACAUUUUACCAAGACCGUUAUGCCCCAGAAAUAUUUCACUUGCCACUGAUGUUGCUUUUUCAAUAUUAUUACAGAUAAUUUGCAAUGCCAUUUAAACAUUCAGAUAAUAAAUUAUUAAUGCCA